RNAcentral lists this ribosomal RNA (400 nucleotides) under uncultured bacterium. Its description in RNAcentral is "partial 16S ribosomal RNA". It matches the Rfam family "Archaeal small subunit ribosomal RNA", at positions 473 to 873 of the family's 1478-position model. The record is from RNAcentral.
AUACCAGCACCCCGAGUGGUCGGGACGAUUAUUGGGCCUAAAGCAUCCGUAGCCGGUCCUGCAAGUCCCCCGUUAAAUCCAGCUGCUCAACAGAUGGGCCGCGGAGGAUACUACAGAGCUAGGAGGCAGGAGAGGCAAGCGGUACUCAGUGGGUCGGGGUAAAAUCCGUUGAUCCAUUGAAGACCACCAGUGGCGAAGGCGGCUUGCCAGAAUGCGCUCGACGGUGAGGGAUGAAAGCUGGGGGAGCAAACCGGAUUAGGUACCCGGGUAGUCCCAGCCGUAAACGAUGCAGACUCGGUGAUGGGUUGGCUUCGCGCUAACCCAGUGCCGCAGGGAAGCCGUUAAGUCUGCCGCCUGGGUAGUACGGUCGCAAGACUGAAACUUAAAGGAAUUGGCGGGG